RNAcentral lists this ribosomal RNA (233 nucleotides) under uncultured bacterium. RNAcentral describes it as "partial 16S ribosomal RNA". It matches the Rfam family "Bacterial small subunit ribosomal RNA", at positions 536 to 769 of the family's 1533-position model. The record is from RNAcentral.
GAGCGUUGUCCGGAAUUACUGGGCGUAAAGAGCACGUAGGCGGAUAUUUAAGUGAGAUGUGAAAUACCCGGGCUCAACCUGGGUGCUGCAUUUCAAACUGGAAGCUAGAGUGCAGGAGAGGAGAGUGGAAUUCCUAGUGUAGCGGUGAAAUGCGUAGAUAUAUGGAGGAACACCAGUGGCGAAGGCGACUCUCUGGUCUGUAACUGACGCUGAGGCACGAAAGCGUGGGGAGC